UACGUAAGGACCGAGCGUUGUCCGGAAUCAUUGGGCGUAAAGGGUACGUAGGCGGGUUUUUAAGUUAGAAGUCAAAGGCUAUAGCUCAACUAUAGUAAGCUUCUAAAACUGGGGACCUUGAGUAAUGGAAGGGAAAGUGGAAUUCCUAGUGUAGCGGUGGAAUGCGCAGAUAUUAGGAGGAAUACCGGUGGCGAAGGCGACUUUCUGGCCAUUAACUGACGCUGAGGUACGAAAGCGUGGGUAGCAAACAGGAUUAGAUACCCUGGUAGUC
This 271-nucleotide ribosomal RNA is filed under the name uncultured Eubacteriales bacterium. Its description in RNAcentral is "uncultured Clostridiales bacterium partial 16S ribosomal RNA". It matches the Rfam family "Bacterial small subunit ribosomal RNA", at positions 524 to 795 of the family's 1533-position model. The record is from RNAcentral. Lineage: Bacteria; Bacillati; Bacillota; Clostridia; Eubacteriales.